GCUCUAGGGGAAUAAAGAUGGAAUGACUUCUAAUUUUUAGGUCCGUAUGAUUUGAAAUACUUGCACACAAACCCCGAGAAAGCGUUCCUGGAAAUCUCGGCCCAAAAAGGACGUUUAGUAAUUCUAAAAGGGACUACAAGAUGAAAAACAAUAGUUUUGGCAGUUAAAGUUUGAGAAUCGAUGGUGCCGUAGAUCCGUUUGGUCAUCAGGUGUUACGAGCACACCCAUGUCUAGCUUGAAUAGUGUGUCAGGCUCAGUCUAGAGAAGAAACGGGGAACAAACUGAUGAAAGAAUUAUCAUACCGAGGGAAUUCACUCAGAAUUAACAAGAAUGAUAACGUGCUCCGACUUGAGCGGUUUAGGAACAGCUGGAAGGCUCUAGGGGAAUAAAGAUGGAAUGACUUCUAAUUUUUAGGUCCGUAUGAUCUGAAAUACUUGCACAAAAACCUCGAGAAAGCGUUCCUGGAAAUCUUGGCCCAAAAAAGGACGUUUAGUAAUUCUAAAAGGGACUACAAGAUGAAAAAUAAUAGUUUUGCCAGUUAAAGUUUGAGAUUCGAUGGUGUCGUAGAUCCGUUUGGUCAUCAGGUGUUACGAGCCACACCCAUGUCUAGCUAGAAUAGUGUGUCAGGCUCAGGCUGGAGAAGAAACAGGGUACAAACUGAUGAAAGAAUUAUCAUACUGAGGGAAUUCACUCAGAACUAACAAGAAUGAUAACGUGCUCCGACUGGAGCGGUUUAGGAACUGCUGGAAAGGUCUAGGGGAAUAAAGAUGGAAUGACUUCUAAUUUUUAGGUCCGUAUGGUUUGAAAUACUUGCACACAAACCGCACGAAAGCAUUCCUAGAAAUCUCGGCCCAAAAAAUGACGUUUAGUAAUUCUAAAUGGGACUAUAGGAUGAAAAACAAUAGUUUUGGCAGUUAAAGUUUGAGAUUCGAUGGUGCCGUAGAUCCGUUUGGUCAUCAGGUGUUACGAGCCACACCCAUGUCUAGCUAGAAUAGUGUGUCAGGCUCAGGCUAGAGAAGAAACGGGGAACAAACUGAUGAAAGAAUUAUCAUAACGAGGGAAUUCACUCAGAACUAACAAGAAUGAUAACGUGCUCCGACUGGAGCGGUUUAGGAACUGCUGGAAGGCUCUAGGGGAAUAAAGAUGGAAUGACUUCUAAUU
This 1161-nucleotide long non-coding RNA is filed under the name Triticum aestivum (bread wheat). Its description in RNAcentral is "long non-coding RNA (TAES_LNC017171)". The record is from RNAcentral. Lineage: Eukaryota; Viridiplantae; Streptophyta; Magnoliopsida; Poales; Poaceae.